RNAcentral lists this ribosomal RNA (512 nucleotides) under uncultured bacterium. RNAcentral describes it as "partial 16S ribosomal RNA". It matches the Rfam family "Bacterial small subunit ribosomal RNA", at positions 28 to 523 of the family's 1533-position model. The record is from RNAcentral.
GACGAACGCUGCGGCAUGCCUAAUACAUGCAAGUCGAGCGAACAGAUGAAGUGCUUGCAUUUCUGACGUUAGCGGCGAACGGGUGAGUAACACGUAAGGAAUCUACCUAUAAGCGGGGGAUAACAUUCGGAAACGGGUGCUAAUACCGCAUAAUAUCUUCUUCCGCAUGGAAGAAGAUUGAAAGACGGCUCUGCUGUCACUUAUAGAUGACCUUGCGGUGCAUUAGUUAGUUGGUGGGGUAACGGCCUACCAAGACGAUGAUGCAUAGCCGACCUGAGAGGGUGAUCGGCCACAUUGGGACUGAGACACGGCCCAAACUCCUACGGGAGGCAGCAGUAGGGAAUCUUCCGCAAUGGGCGAAAGCCUGACGGAGCAAUGCCGCGUGAGUGAAGAAGGCCUUCGGGUCGUAAAACUCUGUUAUAAGAGAAGAACAAAUUGUAGAGUAACUGCUACAGUCUUGACGGUAUCUUAUCAGAAAGCCACGGCUAACUACGUGCCAGCCGCCGCUGUAA